CCUACGGGUGGCAGCAGUGAGGAAUAUUGGUCAAUGGUCGGGAGACUGAACCAGCCAAGCCGCGUGAGGGAUGAAGGUACAGAGUAUCGUAAACCUCUUUUGUCAGGGAACAAAGGCGGGGACGUGUCCCCGGAUGAGUGUACCUGAAGAAAAAGCAUCGGCUAACUCCGUGCGAGCAGCCGGGGUAAUACGGAGGAUGCGAGCGUUAUCCGGUUUUAUGGGGUUUAAAGGGGGCGCAGGCGGUCUGUUAAGUCAGCGGUCAAAGCCCGGGGCUCAACCCCGGCCCGCCGUUGAAACUGGCAGUCGCGAGUUGGAGAGAAGUAUGCGGAAUGCGCGGUGGAGCGGUGAAAUGCAUAGAUAUCGCGCAGAACUCCGAUUGCGAAGGCAGCGUGCCGGCUCCACACUGACGCUGAGGCACGAAAGCGUGGGUAUCGAACAGGAUUAGAUACCCGGGUAGUC
RNAcentral lists this ribosomal RNA (459 nucleotides) under uncultured bacterium. RNAcentral's name for it is "partial 16S ribosomal RNA". It matches the Rfam family "Bacterial small subunit ribosomal RNA", at positions 338 to 795 of the family's 1533-position model. The record is from RNAcentral.